AUUGAACGCUGGCGGCAUGCCUAACACAUGCAAGUCGAACGGCAGCACGGGAACUUCCUCCUGUUGGCGAGGGCCGGACGGGUAAGUGAUAGAUAUACACCGGUCCUGACGUGUGCGAUAGGGCGACGGAAGCGGGAUUUAUACCACUACCGCACACGGCCUAAGAGCGAAAGCAGUUGAGCUCUCGACCUUUCGCGUUUGACUGAGCCGAUGUCGGAUUAGCUAGUUGGAGGGGUAAAGGCCCACCAAGGCGACGAUCAGUAGCUGGUCUGAGAGGAUGAUCAGCCACACUGGGACUGAGACACGGUCCAGACUCCUACGGGAGGCAGCAGUGGGGAAUUUUGGACAAUGGGCGAAAGCCUGAUCCAGCAAUGCCGCGUGUGUGAAGAAGGCCUUCGGGUUGUAAAGCACUUUUGUUCGGAAAGAAAAGCUUGGCGCUAAUACGGUCGUGUGAUGACGGUACCGGAAGAAUAAGCACCGGCUAACUACGUG
RNAcentral lists this ribosomal RNA (492 nucleotides) under uncultured bacterium. Its description in RNAcentral is "partial 16S ribosomal RNA". It matches the Rfam family "Bacterial small subunit ribosomal RNA", at positions 30 to 507 of the family's 1533-position model. The record is from RNAcentral.